GACGAACGCUGGCGGCGUGCUUAACACAUGCAAGUCGAACGGAAAGGCCCCUUCGGGGGUACUCGAGUGGCGAACAGGUGAGUAACACGUGAGUAACCUGCCCUUGACUUCGGGAUAACUUCAGGAAACUGGGGCUAAUACCGGAUAGGAAUCCUUGCUGCAUGGUGGGGGUUGGAAAGCUUCGGCGGUUUUGGAUGGACUCGCGGCUUAUCAGCUUGUUGGUGGGGUAGUGGCUUACCAAGGCUUUGACGGGUAGCCGGCCUGAGAGGGCGACCGGCCACAUUGGGACUGAGAUACGGCCCAGACUCCUACGGGAGGCAGCAGUGGGGGAUAUUGCACAAUGGGCGGAAGCCUGAUGCAGCAACGCCGCGUGCGGGAUGACGGCCUUCGGGUUGGAAACCGCUUUCAGCAGGGGCGAAGCUUGUGGUGACGGUACCUGCAGAAGAAGCACCGGCUAACUACGUG
RNAcentral lists this ribosomal RNA (465 nucleotides) under uncultured bacterium. RNAcentral's name for it is "partial 16S ribosomal RNA". It matches the Rfam family "Bacterial small subunit ribosomal RNA", at positions 28 to 507 of the family's 1533-position model. The record is from RNAcentral.